This 506-nucleotide ribosomal RNA is filed under the name uncultured bacterium. Its description in RNAcentral is "partial 16S ribosomal RNA". It matches the Rfam family "Bacterial small subunit ribosomal RNA", at positions 30 to 523 of the family's 1533-position model. The record is from RNAcentral.
AUUGAACGCUGGCGGCAGGCCUAACACAUGCAAGUCGAGCGGCAGCGGAAAGUAGCUUGCUACUUUGCCGGCGAGCGGCGGACGGGUGAGUAAUGUCUGGGACACUGCCUGAUGGAGGGGGAUAACUACUGGAAACGGUAGCUAAUACCGCAUAAUGUCGCAAAACCAAAGAGGGGGACCUUCGGGCCUCUUGCCAUCAGAUGUCCCCAGAUGGGAUUAGCUAGUAGGUGGGGUAACGGCUCACCUAGGCGACGAUCCCUAGCUGGUCUGAGAGGAUGACCAGCCACACUGGAACUGAGACACGGUCCAGACGCCUACGGGAGGCAGCAGUGGGGAAUAUUGCACAAUGGGCGCAAGCCUGAUGCAGCCAUGCCGCGUGUAUGAAGAAGGCCUUCGGGUUGUAAGGUACUUUCAGCGGGGAGGAAGGUGUUGUGGUUAAUAACCACAGCAAUUGACGUUACCCGCAGAAGAAGCACCGGCUAACUCCGUGCCAGCCGCCGCCGUAA